CCGUAGGUGANACCUGCGGAAGGAUCAUUCACACGAAUCCAAUCUAACCACCUAACCUCAGUGGGGUUCGCGGCAGCAUCCUCCGGAUCUGCUUGCGGGUCCUAGGUGCUUUCCGACUCCGAGCUCCGGCUUGGGGGCCUUGCCAGCAGGGUCUGGUAAGGUAGGUCUGCACCGUUUUAUCUACUCCAUUUCGAUAACUUCAAUCAAUGAAAGCAUUAAACUUUCAGCGAUGGAUGCCUCGGCUUGAGCACUGAUGAAGGACGCAGCGAAAUGCGAUACGCAUUGUGAAUUGCAGAAUUCCGUGAGUCAAUAGGUAUCUGAACGCACUCUGCACUCUCGGGGUCUCCUCGUGAGUACAUCUGCUUCAGUGUUUCCGAACCCUCCUGCCAGCUGCAAUGCGCGGCUAGGCGUUUCUGUGUGCUAACGGGCUUUCCCGCUAGCGCAUUAAAUGAUACAGGAAUCGUGCUCUACUGGCAUGUUGGUCACCUCGUGUGAGCUUUGCUGGUGGUGGCGCUGGAUGGUCCUGUGCCAAUCCGGAAUUGAACCUGAAGUCAGGUGGAGCUACCCGCUGAACUUAAGCAUAUCAAC
Molecule: ribosomal RNA, 588 nt
Filed under: uncultured eukaryote
Lineage: Eukaryota
Description: eukaryotic LSU rRNA
Rfam family: 5.8S ribosomal RNA (bases 219-373)
Source: RNAcentral